Molecule: ribosomal RNA, 406 nt
Filed under: uncultured bacterium
Lineage: Bacteria
Description: partial 16S ribosomal RNA
Rfam family: Bacterial small subunit ribosomal RNA
Source: RNAcentral
AUUGAACGCUGGCGGCAGGCCUAACACAUGCAAGUCGAGCGCGCGGCGGACGGGUGUGUAAUAUCUGGGACACUGCCUCAUGGAGGGGGAUAACUACUGGAAACAGUAGCGAAUACCGCAUACCAUCUGAUAUGCCCCGAUGGGAUUAGCUAGUAGGUGGGGUAGCGGCUCACCUAGGCGACGAUCCCUAGCUGGUCUGCGAGGAUGACCAGCCACACUGGGACUGAGACACGGUCCAGACUCCUACGGGAGGCAGCAGGGGGGAAUAUUGGACAAUGGGCGCAAGCCUGAUGCAGCCAUGCCGCGGGUGUGAAGAAGGCCUUCGGGUUGUAAAGCACUUUCAGCGGGGAGGCGUUACCCGCAGAAGAAGCACCGGCUAACUCCGUGCCAGCAGCCGCGGUAAUAC